CACGUAGGCACCAAGCGUUGUCCGGAUUUAUUGGGCGUAAAGAGCUCGUAGGCGGUUCGGUAAGUCGGGUGUGAAAACUCUGGGCUCAACCCAGAGCCGCCACCCGAUACUGCUGUGACUCGAGUGCGGUAGGGGAGCGGGGAAUUCCUGGUGUAGCGGUGAAAUGCGCAGAUAUCAGGAGGAACACCGGUGGCGAAGGCGGAUCUCUGGGCCUGUUCUGACGCUGAGGCGCGAAAGCUAGGGGAGCGAACAGG
This 254-nucleotide ribosomal RNA is filed under the name uncultured bacterium. RNAcentral's name for it is "partial 16S ribosomal RNA". It matches the Rfam family "Bacterial small subunit ribosomal RNA", at positions 524 to 776 of the family's 1533-position model. The record is from RNAcentral.